GGCCUAACACAUGCAAGUCGAGGGGUAGCAUGAAAGUAGCAAUACUUUUGAUGACGACCGGCGCACGGGUGAGUAACGCGUAUGCAACCUACCUACUACAGGGGAAUAGCCCGAAGAAAUUCGGAUUAAUGCCGCAUAAUACAGGGGCACCGCAUGGUGAUAUUUGUUAAAGAUUAAUUGGUAGUAGAUGGGCAUGCGUUCCAUUAGCCAGUUGGUGAGGUAACGGCUCACCAAAGCAACGAUGGAUAGGGGUACUGAGAGGUUUAUCCCCCACACUGGUACUGAGACACGGACCAGACUCCUACGGGAGGCAGCAGUGAGGAAUAUUGGUCAAUGGGCGAGAGCCUGAACCAGCCAAGUCGCGUGAAGGAUGACUGCCCUAUGGGUUGUAAACUUCUUUUGUACUGGGGUAAAAAAGAGGACGUGUCCUUUCUUGCAAGUACAGUACGAAUAAGCAUCGGCUAACUCCGUGCCAGCAGCCGCGGUAAUACGGAGGAUGCGAGCGUUAUCCGGAUUUAUUGGGUUUAAAGGGUGCGUAGGCGGGGAUUUAAGUCAGCGGUGAAAGUUUGAGGCUCAACCUUAAAAUUGCCGUUGAAACUGGGUUUCUUGAGUGUAUUUGAAGUAGGCGGAAUUCGUUGUGUAGCGGUGAAAUGCAUAGAUAUAACGAAGAACUCCAAUUGCGCAGGCAGCUUACUAAACU
Molecule: ribosomal RNA, 700 nt
Filed under: uncultured Bacteroidales bacterium
Lineage: Bacteria; Pseudomonadati; Bacteroidota; Bacteroidia; Bacteroidales
Description: bacterial SSU rRNA
Rfam family: Bacterial small subunit ribosomal RNA
Source: RNAcentral